UACGUAGGUGGCGAGCGUUGUCCGGAUUUAUUGGGUUUAAAGGGUGCGUAGGCGGCUUUGUAAGUCAGUGGUGAAAUACUCUAGCUCAACUAGAGAGGUGCCAUUGAUACUGCGGAGCUUGAGUACAGAUGAGGUAGGCGGAAUUGACGGUGUAGCGGUGAAAUGCAUAGAUAUCGUCAAGAACACCGAUAGCGAAGGCAGCUUACUGGGCUGUAACUGACGCUGAGGCACGAAAGUGUGGGGAUCAAACAGG
This 253-nucleotide ribosomal RNA is filed under the name uncultured bacterium. RNAcentral describes it as "partial 16S ribosomal RNA". It matches the Rfam family "Bacterial small subunit ribosomal RNA", at positions 524 to 776 of the family's 1533-position model. The record is from RNAcentral.